GGAAGCAGCAACAGCAGCUUUAUAGCAGAAAUUGGGAACGUUUAAAUGUUUGAAAUUCGAAAUCCUCCAGAUAUUUUCUUUUUUUGCCAGAGCUACCGGUUGGCCGGUGAGGAGGCGGGCCACCCCUUAGUCGACUCCACUGAAUAGCUGUCAAGGCUUGGAACGGGGCUGUUUAAAUCGUUCGUCGCUCACCGCUAGCUCGUUGAUCGUUCGGAAAACGCUCAGAAUAUGCUCGUUCGGUUUGGUUCGGUUUGCAAACGAGCCAAGCCUGAGCAAAGGUCCGCUCGGCUCAGUUCGGCUCGAAUUAAUUUUUAUUAGUUUAUUACAUAUACACAAAUUACAUGUAUAUUCAUAUUUUAUACAUACCAUUCUAUUAGAUUUGGACCACUAUACUCAAAUAUACAAUUAUAUUUAUCCA
Long non-coding RNA from Helianthus annuus (common sunflower), 418 nucleotides. RefSeq lists it as uncharacterized. The record is from RefSeq and is a predicted model, not a curated record. The transcript has 3 exons. NCBI's taxonomy places the organism in Eukaryota, Viridiplantae, Streptophyta, Magnoliopsida, Asterales, Asteraceae.